UCUAGAUCUAACGAACCAAGAGAG
Molecule: microRNA, 24 nt
Filed under: Zea mays
Lineage: Eukaryota; Viridiplantae; Streptophyta; Magnoliopsida; Poales; Poaceae
Description: microRNA miR-3189
Source: RNAcentral